UACGUAGGGUGCGAGCGUUGUCCGGAAUUAUUGGGCGUAAAGGGCUCGUAGGCGGUUUGUCGCGUCGGGAGUGAAAACUCAGGGCUUAACCCUGAGCCUGCUUCCGAUACGGGCAGACUAGAGGUAUGCAGGGGAGAACGGAAUUCCUGGUGUAGCGGUGAAAUGCGCAGAUAUCAGGAGGAACACCGGUGGCGAAGGCGGUUCUCUGGGCAUUGCCUGACGCUGAGGAGCGAAAGUGUGGGGAGCGAACAGG
RNAcentral lists this ribosomal RNA (253 nucleotides) under uncultured bacterium. RNAcentral describes it as "partial 16S ribosomal RNA". It matches the Rfam family "Bacterial small subunit ribosomal RNA", at positions 524 to 776 of the family's 1533-position model. The record is from RNAcentral.